UAGCUCAGUUGGUAGAGCAUGGUGUUUGCAACGCCAGGGUUGUGGGUUAGAUUCCCAC
Molecule: transfer RNA, 58 nt
Filed under: Salmo salar (Atlantic salmon)
Lineage: Eukaryota; Metazoa; Chordata; Actinopteri; Salmoniformes; Salmonidae
Also listed under: 2 other names
Rfam family: tRNA
About the family: Transfer RNA (tRNA) molecules are approximately 80 nucleotides in length. Their secondary structure includes four short double-helical elements and three loops (D, anti-codon, and T loops).
Source: Rfam by way of RNAcentral